CAAGAAAUAGUUUAAAAAAAAUUUUAAUUUUGGAGAUUAAAGAUAAGAAUUUCUUUUUCUUGA
This 63-nucleotide transfer RNA is filed under the name Rodolia quadrimaculata. RNAcentral's name for it is "tRNA-Pro". Lineage: Eukaryota; Metazoa; Arthropoda; Insecta; Coleoptera; Coccinellidae. The record is from RNAcentral.